RNAcentral lists this long non-coding RNA (1406 nucleotides) under Equus caballus (horse). RNAcentral describes it as "lncRNA (ENSECAG00000047966.1)". Lineage: Eukaryota; Metazoa; Chordata; Mammalia; Perissodactyla; Equidae. The record is from RNAcentral.
GAGGCAGAAUAAUUAUUCCCUGCUUGAAAUCAAAUGUCUGAAAUGGAGGUUCAGAAUUUUUUUUACCACAAAGAUUUUGUGACAGUUCCCAGGGAAUCGAGGAACAAGGAAAUAAAAGUCAAAGCUGAGGCUGCCUGGAUCUCAGGAAAUGCACUCUGUGCUCCAGUGUGGGUGCAGCUCUCUAUAGUUUACAUGAUGUGGUCAUGACCAUUGUCUCAUCUGGUCAUUGCAACCCCAUCGCAACCACUAAAAGCCACCAUUAGUCCCAUUUCACAGGUUAGGAAACUGAGACCCAGAGAGGUAGGAUGGAGGGAGAGAAUGAUGGGCAAUGAAGUGGGUGGGGACUGGGGCACAGUCUUGAAUGCUACGUGUCAGGGUCUUCACCACCACUACCUGGGAGUGUCUUCUAGACAUUGAAUUAUUCUGUUUCUUCCAUAUUUGGACAGAGGGCAAAGUCAAGAGAGAGCCUUGGUCUAAUUGGCUGAGCUUGGGCCUCAUGCCACCCCCGAUAGGACCUGAGAAGCAGGACCAGGAGGAGGGUCCCACCAUGGCUACAUAAAACAGAGAACAGGAAGUUUCCCUACAUGUAACAAGGGGCGUUAGGGAGGAAUAAGGAUAAGGAUGCUAGAAAGCCCAAACGCCAAACACAUCCAUUAUAAGAAAUAACCAGCCCAGAGGCUAGGAGAUCUGUGGGGAGGCCAUAGUUCAGAUAAGAGAGGGAGAGACCUGAACUAGCCCAGUGGAGAUGGAGAGAAAUAGAUCAGAAACUUGUAGUAGGUAAAACCCAGAAAUAAUUGGUGAAUGAUUAGCUGUUAGGGUGAGAGAGAGGGUAAAGACAAGGGUGGCUCCCAUGUGUCUUGAGUGGGGCCCUGGGUAGAUGGAGGAGAGGCCCCUGGGAUGGGGAACUCAGCAUGGGGAGCAAGUUUGAGAGGCAGGACAGCGGACUCAGAUAUGGCCAAGGCGUCAGAGUCACAGCCAGGUGGAGCCCAGCAGCCACUUGGAUUCAGGGUCAGGCUCAGGGAGAGAUUCGACUGGAAGUACUGACCCAGGGCCAUGGACACUCAGAGAGUAAUGGAAACCCUGAGAAUGAAUGAGAUCACAGAGAGAGAAUGGGACAGGGUGUAGGGCAGAAUCAUGAGUUAUAGUGACAUUUGAGGAGCCAAUCAAGGUGUGGGCAGGUGACAAGAGAAAAAGAAGGAAGGGCCUGAGAGAUGGGACAAACAACUAGGAGAUGGGUUGCCAUGGCAACCAAGGUAGUGAAGCGUUUCAAGGAGAAAGUAAUCAACACUGCUAUAUGGCCGGAAUCUCACAAAAAUAAGAAACAAAGUCCUUUGAAUUUAGUAAUCGGGGGGCUAGUAUGAACCUUGGCAGGAACUGUUUUAAGGGUUGAGGGGGUAAAAGCUAGC